GAUGAACGCUAGCGGGAGGCCUAACACAUGCAAGCCGAGCGGUAGAGUUCCUUCGGGAACUUGAGAGCGGCGUACGGGUGCGUAACACGUGUGCAACCUACCUUUAUCUGGGGGAUAGCCUUUCGAAAGGAAGAUUAAUACCCCAUAAUAAAUUGAAUGGCAUCAUUUAAUAUUGAAAACUCUGGUGGAUAGAGAUGGGCACGCGCAAGAUUAGAUAGUUGGUGAGGUAACGGCUCACCAAGUCUGUGAUCUUUAGGGGUCCUGAGAGGGAGAUCCCCCACACUGGUACUGAGACGCGGACCAGACUCCUACGGGAGGCAGCAGUGAGGAAUAUUGGACAAUGGGUGAGAGCCUGAUCCAGCCAUCCCGCGUGAAGGAUGACGGUCCUAUGGAUUGUAAACUUCUUUUGUACAGGAAUAAACCUAUUUACGUGUAAAUAGCUGAAGGUACUGUACGAAUAAGCACCGGCUAACUCCGUGCCAGCCGCCGCGGUAA
This 495-nucleotide ribosomal RNA is filed under the name uncultured bacterium. Its description in RNAcentral is "partial 16S ribosomal RNA". It matches the Rfam family "Bacterial small subunit ribosomal RNA", at positions 28 to 523 of the family's 1533-position model. The record is from RNAcentral.